GGAGGGUUCGCAUAGUGGUCUAGUGCGCGGCUCUGGAGAAGCCGUAGGUCCGAAAGGGCCUCGUGGGUUCGAAUCCCACCCCCUCCGCCA
RNAcentral lists this transfer RNA (90 nucleotides) under Candidatus Parcubacteria bacterium. RNAcentral describes it as "tRNA-Ser". It matches the Rfam family "tRNA". From Rfam's summary of the family: Transfer RNA (tRNA) molecules are approximately 80 nucleotides in length. Their secondary structure includes four short double-helical elements and three loops (D, anti-codon, and T loops). Further hydrogen bonds mediate the characteristic L-shaped molecular structure. tRNAs have two regions of fundamental functional importance: the anti-codon, which is responsible for specific mRNA codon recognition, and the 3' end, to which the tRNAs corresponding amino acid is attached (by aminoacyl-tRNA synthetases). tRNAs cope with the degeneracy of the genetic code in two manners: having more than one tRNA (with a specific anti-codon) for a particular amino acid; and 'wobble' base-pairing, i.e. permitting non-standard base-pairing at the 3rd anti-codon position. The record is from RNAcentral. Lineage: Bacteria; Candidatus Parcubacteria.